CCUAGGCUAUACAGGCACUGCUCAUAUGAAAGCUACCACAAAUGCUACGAAAGCUACCACAAAUUGAAAUAUGAAAGCUGGUAACAUGAAGAUUGAGUUAUCAUAAUGAGAUUCUUGUGAUGAGAGUAAUUCUACAACAUUCCCUAAAAACAAGUUAUUUUAGGCAACUAGAAGUGAGCCCGGCAGAGAGAGAGCAAUAUUGAUUUCUCUCUCGCUCCCUCCUCAGGGGAAACCAUUGAAAGGAUUAUGUGUGAGAGCGUUUAUUUAGACUGUGGAGGAGAGUGGAAUAGUUUAGCGCUUGGACUAAACUUAUCCGUUUAAAUUGAAGAGAAAUUAAUCGAAACAAAGUAUUUGAAGACUUGUUUGUUGUUACGUUAAAUUAAUGAUAUAUCAGACAAGGAAACUCAGCUUGCACAUGCCACUGGAAAUUAAUCAAGUUGCCGAAUAGCGACGCACUUGCAUUUUUUUGGAACAUUUCUGAAGACUGUCAGUAGCCUAUAGUCUAAAAUACGCGGAAGGGGUUUUGUGAUGGAAGAAGGAUUUACUUAAUUUUAUACAAACACUUUUCUCUCUCCUGACUGACCUAUGCGAGCAUAUACAAAUGUUUAUGGACUUGGGAAAAGAACACUAGCAUUUCGGAGGAUUACAUUGACAAACAUACAACCUUCAUGAUGAAUCGGGCAUUCUGGGAUGUGAUCUUUCUCAUUACUGGGUCCCUCUUCACCUAUGGAACCGGACAGGAUAAUUCUACUAUUGCUACUAAUUCUACUAUGACCACCACCCCUCCUGUGACUACUACCACUGUAAACAUUAUGCUAUUUUCUACCACUACCAGCACCAUUACUACAACCAACCUUCCAGUUAAAAAGUUUGUGGCAGCAGCUGUUCGAUCACACUUCGAUGACUGUCCUGACUCGCACAGCCACUUCUGUUUCCAUGGCACCUGUCGUUUCCUGAUUCUGGAGGAGACCCCUGCAUGUGUGUGUCACCAAGGCUUUGUAGGGAUGCGAUGCGAGCACGCCGACCUGCUAGCCGUGGUGGCCACCAAUCACAGGCAACAGACAGUUGCCACGGCGCUAGUGCUGUGUGUGAUUGGCUGUGUCUUGACGAUGCUUCUCUGUACACUUUUACAUUGCUGGUGGAGGCGGGACGGUUUGGGGCGGAGGCACAGACUCCACUGUGCCCCAGAGAAACAAGACAGUAGGCUGAAGGGCCGAGGUCCCUGCUGUCACUCUGAAAGUGUGGUUUGAGAGAGAACGCUGCUUGGAACGCCAGGGAUUUUCACGAUGGGCUGCCUUCUCUUCCCAUCUGUCCAUUCAACCCUAAUGCCUACUGGGACUACUAUGGACUACACACAAGAUGGCAUCAGACACCCUGGCUAAUAACAUCCUCACAAAACUGAAAGGGGUAUCUUUAUUACCAGACCAAGGGAAGUUGAAUGUCAUAUUUGAUGUCAUAUUCUCCACAGACCGGGAUUUACAGAACCUCAGCACACUUGGAAUACUGUGAUCUCACUACUGUUGUAAUGCAUGGAGAGAAGAGAGGGAAACUGACCUCUCAGAAACACUGAACUCUCCGGAAGAUCUCUCUGGAACCUGACGUGAGGAGAUCCCCUCAGUGUGACAUAAUGACUGUAAUAAUAAUGAUGCCAAGGACAUGGUCGGAACAUACAGCCCAUGCUGGACAUAACUAGACAAAAUACUUGCAGUCCUCUGCGGAUUUUGGAGCAGGAGAGCAACUAUUUAUUUCAGAUUUGGAUUUGAGGGAUAACUUUUGUUUAAUUCACUUGAAAUCAGAGGAACUCAAAAUUCUCUCUUUUUUUUCUCACUUUUAAAAAAUAUACACAAGCUAAACACAAUAUAUAAUUAUCCAAAUUUAAAGCACACAGAGAUUUUUAAGGUGGAGCAAGAGUGUUUUGAGUUUCUGUUUUUCAACAAGGGAUAUUGACAUGCCUCACCUGACAAAAAUGGGGAGAGUCCCAGUAGCAAUAUCUUUUUAACCCCACUGUGGAUUAAGGACCAAUGGUGGGACUUGGACGUAGUAAUGGGAGAGAUUAUGUUUGGAUUAAAUGCAUGCAAAAGAGUAGAUUUUAAGAGGACUGUGAAGCAUCCAAAGCAUUGCCAACCUAUAGUCCUUAGUAACUUGUAAAUCAAGUAAUAGAACACCAUAAAUUAGUAUUCCUGACACGAGUCUUGCAAUUCCAUUGCACCUCAGAUGUAGUUUGUUGUUUCUGUCCAUUCCUGCACAAAACCUGCAUUACAUUUAGGUUUCUAAGUUGAGUGAUGCACAGACUUUGUUGUGUUCUAACACUUGUUUUAUGCACAUGCAUGCAGUGUUGGGGGAAUGCGUUACAAAGGUAACAUGCAAGGUAAUCCCAUUAUUUUAGGAGUAAUGGAGUUAAGUAAUGUUACUUUUUCAAACUGGGUAAUAUUAUGAUUUUUGUCAAAGUUGUGCGUUACUUUCAGAAUCAACAUCUCUACCGGGCGCGUGUUUCCAUGAUCCGAUCUCGGCUCGUUUCUUCAUUUAGUUCUCGAACAGGCGGAGCAAGUCUCUUUGGAGAAAUCAUGACAGCUGCUGUCCAUAGAAAUGUAUAGAGGGUGCACAUCUGAUCUUUGCCAUUGAUCUCUUCCGUCUAGUGACAAGUGUGCCCUCUAUACACGUCCAUGGGUCCGUGUAGCCGACAUGUGGUGUAUAACCAAAACUGGCAGCCUGAGAGAAAGAUUUUGAAUGAAAAUAUAGGAAAUAUGUACAGAUAUUUGGCUUACAAUGCAUUCAGAAAUUAUUCAGAACCCUUGACUUUUUCUACAUUUUGUUAUGUUAUAGCCUUAUUCUAAAAUUCAUUAAAUUGUUUGUUUUUUUCCCCAUCAGUCUACACACAAUACCCCAUAAUGACAAAGCAAAAACAGGCUUUAAGAAAUGUUCAAUAAUUUAUUACAAAUAAACAACUGAAAUAUGAAAUUUACAUAAGUAUUCAGACCCAUUACUCAGUACUUUGUUGAAGCACCUUUGGCAGCGAUUACAGCCUCAAGUCUUCUUGGGUACUAGCUUGGCACACCUUUAUUUGGGGAGUUUCUCCCAUUCUUCUCUGCAGAUCCUCUCAAGAACUGUCAGGAAGGAUGGGGAGCGUCGUUGCACAGCUAUUUUCAGGUCUCUCCAGAGAUGUUAGAUCGGGUUCAAGUCCGGGCUCUGGCUGGGCCACUCAAGGACAUGCGUUGUCUUGGUUGUGUGCUUAGGGUCGUUCCUGUUGGAAGGUGAAUCUUCGCCCCCCAGUCUGAGGUCCUGAGUGCUCUGCAGAAGGUUUUCAUCAAGAAUCUUUCUAUACUUUGUUCAUCUUUCCCUUGAUCCUGACUAGUCUCCCAGUCCCUGCCAAUGAAAAACAUCCCCACAGCAUGAUGCUGCAACCACCAUGAUUUACCGUAGGGAUGGAGCCAGGUUUACUUCAGACGUGACGCUUGGCAUUCAGGCCAAAGAGUUCAAUCUUGGUUUCAUCAGACCAGAGAAUCUUGUUUCUCAUGGUCUGAGAGUCCUUUUAGGUGCCUUUUUGCAAACUCCAAGCGGGCCGUUGUGCCUUUUUACUGAGGAGUGGCUUCCGUCUGGCCACUCUGCCAUCAAGGCCUGAUUGGUGGAGUGCUGCAAAGAUGGUUGUUCUUCUGCAAGAUUCUCCCAUCUCCACAGAGGAACUCUGGAGCUCAGUCAGAGUGACCAUCGGGUUCUUGGUCAGCUCCUUCACCAAGGCCCUUCUCCCCUGAUUGCUCAGUUUGACCGGGCAGCCAGCUCUAGGAAGAGUUUUGGUAGUUCCAAGCUUCUUCCAUUAAAUAAUUAUGGAGGCCACUGUGUUCUUGGGGAUCUUCAAUGCUGCAGAAAUGUUUUGGUACCCUUCCCCAGAUCUGUGCCUCGACACACUCCUGUCUAGGAGCUCCAAGGACAAUUCCUUCGACCUCAUGGCUUGGUUUUUGUUCUGACAUGCACUGUCAACUGUGGGACCUUAUAUAGACAGGUGUGUACCUUUCCAAAUCAUGUCCAAUCAAUUGAAUUUAGCACAGGUGGAUCAAAGGAAACAGGAUGCACCUGAGCACAAUUUUGAGUCUCAUAGAAAAGGGUCUGAAUACUUAUGGCUAUUUCUAAGAACCUGUAUUUGAUUUGUCGUUAUGGGGUAUUGUGUGUAGACUGAGACAUUUCUUUUACACAUUUUAGAAUGGGGCUGGAAUGUAACAAAAUGUGGAAAAAGUCCAGGAGUUUGAAUACUUUAUGAAUGCACUGUAUAUGGCUAAUUAAGCAGCUCAUAUAUAGCUCAGACUAGCAAAGGAAAGCAGCUCCACCUAUGAAAGGAGAAACUAGUAAUCAAACCUGAGUUAGUAAGUAGUUUGUCUUCAGUAGAGCGUGUGCGGCUCACCUUGCUCACUCCGACAGACAGACAAACAAACAGUUAAUUUGCUCAUGAGAUCAACAGUUCAUGAGAUUUUUUUCAUGAUACUAACAAAGUUAUAGAACUACUGAUAUAGUGUGUUACUUUCCACACAAAGUGUAAAGUACAUGUUGAUCUAUCUACUUAAAGUACUAUAUUGCAUUUUAACAUCUCAACACUGCAUACAUGUUACUGAGAACAUUGUAUGCAUGCGAUUCUUCUCGCGACUUUUUCUAGACAUACACUUUAUUGUAUAGUAAUGUUUUCCUGGGGUACACUACAUAGCAAGUUUGCUCACUCCUCCGAAGCACACUUCUGCACUUAAGUUGCAGUCCCUUCACUUGUGAAAGAUGCCAAAUGCACCUGAAGAUCUUACAUGUCUGAUAGAGCUCAGUUACAGAUGCAGAGACACAUGCUAUAGGGCACAUCCACCUAUGCGUGCAUACACAAAGUACACUGUUUCUAGAUAUGAAACAAAUCUGACAACACAGUAUUUAUAUUAUUGCACCCCACAAAUAUGCACAAACAGAGCUUUUGGCUAGAAUGUGUUGUUUUACAACGGUAAAUUGUGGUUUAAGAGGAGAGAACAUAUGAUGGGAAUAGAGAGCUUAAGCAUCUGAAUGGCGAUUUUUUUUUUUUUUUGGUACAGUUCUGGGGAAAAAAAAUAAACGUACAAAAUAAUUGUGAAUUGCUGAAAUACAAAUAUUUUGAGGGAAAGUAAGUAGGGUUGGAGACCAGCUCUAUAUUUAUUUGUAAAUGUGUGUAUUCAAUUCAGACAUUUUGGCUAUGCUUAUUAUUCCAUAAGCCUACAAAAUUCUAUUUGAUUAAAUGAAAGCAGUCAGAAACCACAUUUUUAUCAGUAGAUAAAUAUUUUGAACUUUCAGGUGCAUGAAAAAUGUGCAAGAGAUGCUAAAAGAGAAUCGAAUAAGGAGGGAAAGUUAGAGGGGGUGAAAUAAAAUGUAUGAUUGAGACAGGGGCGAACUCUUUUUCCACUGUAUUGUGAAUAUUUUGUUUAGAAGCCUCAAUACAACAGUUUGUGUCCCAGAUAUUACUCUUGUUUUUCUGUUAACAACAUCUGGUUAUGAACUGAAAAUGAGAUUUCAAGCAACGAUAUCUGUGUAUACAGUGAAAGUUGAUGGUCAUGUAGGUAAGCAUGGACAACACACAUACUGAACAAUGUAAAGUUGUAAACUAUACAAAUGAAAUACACUACAGGGCCAAAAGUAUGUGGACACCCCUUCAGAUGAGUGGAUUCAGCUAUUUCAGGCACACUUGUUGCGGACACAGCCAUGCAAUCUACAUAACAUUCAUUGCCAGUAGAAUGGCUUUACUGAAGAGCUCAGUGACUUUCAAUGUGACACAGUCAAAGGAUGCCACCUUUCCAACACGUCAAUUCAUAAAAUUUCUGCCCUUCUAGAGCUGCCCCAGUCAACUGUAAGCGCUGCUAUUGUGAAGUGGAAGCGUCUAGGAGCAACAACAGCUCAGUUGUGAAGUGGUAGGCCAAAACAAGCUCGCAGAAUGGAACCGCUGAGUGCUUGUCUUCGGUUGCAACAUUCCCUGCCGAGUUCCAAUCUGCCUCUGGACGCAACUUCAGCACAAGAACUGUUCGUCGGGAAAUUCAUGAAAUGGGUUUCCAUGGCCGAGCAGCCGCACACAAACCUAAGAUCACCAUGAGCAAUGUCAAGCCUUGGCUGGAGCUCGCCGCCAUUGGACUCUGGAGCAGAGGAAACACGUUUUCUGGAGUGAUGAAUCACACUUCACCAUCUGGCAGUCCAACAGACAAAUCCGGGUUUGGCGGAUGACCGGAGAACGCUACCUAUCUGAAUGCAUAGUGCCAACUGUAAAGUUUGGUGGCAAAAGAAUAAUGGUCUGGGGCUGUUUUUCAUGGUCACAGGCUAGGCCCUUUAGUUCCAGUGAAGGGGGAACCUAACGCUACACCAUACACUGACAUUCCAGACAAUACUGUGCUUCUAACUUUGUGGCAACAGUUUGGAGAUGGCCCUUUCCUGUUUCAGCAUGACAAUGCCCCCUUGCAGAAAGUGAGGUCCAUACAGAAAUGGUUUGUUGAGAUGGGUGUGGAAGAACUUGACUGGCCUGCAUAGAGCCCUGACCUCAACCCAUCGAACACCUUUGAGAUUAAUUGGAAUGCAGACUGCGAGCCAUGCCUAAUCGCCCAACAUCAGUGCCCGACCUCCAUAAUGCUCUUGUGGCUGAAUGGAAGCAAUCCCUUCAGCAAGUCCCUUCAGCAAUGUUCCAACAUCUUGUGGAAAGCCUUCCCAGAAGAGUGGAGGCUGUUAUAGCAGCAAAGGGGGGACCAACUCCAUAUUAAUGCCCGUGCUUUUGGAAUGUGAUGUUCGACGAGCAGGUCUCCACACACUUUUGGUCAUGUAGUGUGUAAUCCAUGUACACUUUUUAUUUUGAAGAGAAUAACAGUAGUAUUGACAAUGUGAGUCCAACUGCAGACUUUACCUUGUCAAAUAUAAACUUUUUGGAUCUUCAUCAACAGUACAACGUUUCUGGAUAUUCUCGUGUGAACUAACCAGUUGUAUGAUGAUGUAAUGUCCUUGACUUGUAUGGAUGUUUAUUUCUUUUUCAAUGAAGACUGAAAUCUGCAAAGGUGGCUGUCUCCCUGCUGUUUUCUGUUGCCCAGUAACAUCUUAGGACUCCUACUCGCGAACAAAGGAGAAAUGGCCAAGAAGGAGAAGCAAGAGCAAAUUCUUAUUUACAAUGAAGACCUACCCCAGUGAUGCACAGCCCUAUGGGACUCCCGAUCAUGGCCGGAUGUGAUACAACCUGGAAUCGAACUGGGGACUGUAGUGAUGCCUCGUGCACUGAGAUGCAGUGCCUUAGAUUGCUGUGCCACUCGAGAGCCCUAGACAUUUAGUGCCUUCAGAAAUGAUUCACACCUGUUGACUUUUUCCACAUUUUGUUGUGUUACAGCCUGGCCAACACACAAUAACCCAUAAUGUUACAGUGAAAUCAUUUUUUUCUA
Molecule: RNA transcript, 7397 nt
Organism: Oncorhynchus keta (chum salmon)
Lineage: Eukaryota; Metazoa; Chordata; Actinopteri; Salmoniformes; Salmonidae
Gene name: protransforming growth factor alpha-like
Exons: 7
Source: RefSeq, a predicted model, not a curated record